CCUAGUUGAUCCUACAAGUAGUCAUAUGCUUGUCUCAAAGAUUAAGUUAUGCAUGUAUAAGUAUGAAAUAAUUCAGACCAUGAAAUUGUAGAUGGUUCAUUAAAUUAUUUAUAGAUUUUUUGAUGGUACCAUACUACUCAAAUAAAUAUAGUAAUUCGAGAGCUAAUAUGUUCACCAUGUCCCAACUCCUUAGAAGGGAUGAAAUUUUUAGAUAAAAGGCUGGUGUCGGCUUGCCCACUUCUUCGGUGAAUCAUGAUAACUCGACGGAUCACACAUCCCUUAUGUUGGUGAUGCUUCAUUCAAAUUUCUUCCCUAUCAACUUUUGAUGGUAGGAUAGAGGCCUACCAUGGUGGUGAUGGGUGAUAGAGAGUUAGGGUUUGAUUCCAGAAAGGGAGCCUGAGAAAUGACUACCAUAUCCAAGGAAGGAAACAUUCACACAAAUUACCCCAUCCUGACAUGGGGAGGUAGUGAAAAUAAAUAACAAUACUCAUCUCAUCGAGUCUAGUAAUUGGAAUGAGUACAAGCUAAAUCCCUCAAUAAGGAUCCAUUGGAGGGAAAUUAUGAUGCUAGUAUUCAUGGUAAUUCCAACUGCAAUAACGUAUAUUUACAUUAUUGCAGUUAAAAAGCUCAUUGUUGGAUAUUGGGUUGCAAAGUUCGGUCUGCCUACUUGGUGUGCACCUGCCUUUUUGUCCCUUUUAUCGGCAGUGUUCUCUUGGCCUUAAUUGGCUAGGUCAUGACUCCAAUGCUAUUACUUUGAAAAAGUUUUAGUUCUCAAAGCAAGCUUAUGCUUUGAGUACAUUAGCAUGGAAUAAGGUGGUAGGAGUUUGGUCCUAUUAUGUUGGCCUUCGGGACCAGAGUAAUGAUUAAUAAGGACUAUUGGGGGCAUUUGUAUUUGAUUGUUAGGGGUUAAAUUCUUGGAUUUAUGAAAUAUGGACCACUACGAAAAAUUUUUCUAAGGAUGUUUUCAUUAAUCAAUAACGAAAGUUGGGGGCUUGAAGACAAUUAGAUACCUUCCUAGUCUCAACCAUAAAUGAUGCCGACCAUGGAUCGACAGAUGUUUCUCUAAGGACUUCGCUAGCACCUUUUGAGAAAAAAGAGUGUUUGGGUUCCAAGGGGAGUAUGGUCACAAGGAUGAAACUUAAAGGAAUUGACGAAAAGGCACCACCAGGAGUGGAGCCUCUAGCUUAUUUGACUCAACACAGGGAAACUUACCAAGUCCAUACAUUUUAAGGGUUGACAGAUUGGGAGAUAUUUCUUGAUUUUAUGGGUGGUGGUGCAUCACCGUUCUUAGCUGGUGGAGCGAUUUGUAUGGUUAAUUCCGAUAAAAAAUGGGAAGUCAACCUUCUAACUAGCUACGUGGAGGUUCCCCUUCGCAACCAUCUUCUUUGAGGGACUAUGGCCAUAUAGGCCAUGGAAUUUUGAGGAAAUAAUAAUUCUAUGAUGCCCUUAUAUGUUCUGGGCCGCAUGCGCUCUACACUGAUGCAACCAACAAUUUUUUCUUCCUAGUUCGAGAGGGUCAAGAAAUAUUCUCAAAUUUCAUCAUGAUGGGGAUAGGCCAUUGCAAUUAUUGGUAUUCAAUGAGGAAUUGCUAGUAAGUGUGUGUCAUCAACUUGUGUUGACUACAUCCUUGCCCUUUGUAGACACCGCCCAUGGCUUCUACUGAUUGAAUGAUCUGGUGAAGUGUUUGGAUUGCGUUGAUGAUGAUGGUUCUUUACCGUCGAUGAUGUGAUAAUUUCAUUGAAUCUUAUCAUUUAUAGGAAGGAGAAGUCGUAACAAGGUUACCAUAGGUAAAACUAUAGUAG
This 1802-nucleotide ribosomal RNA is filed under the name Pinus taeda (loblolly pine). Its description in RNAcentral is "SSU rRNA". It matches the Rfam family "Eukaryotic small subunit ribosomal RNA". Lineage: Eukaryota; Viridiplantae; Streptophyta; Pinopsida; Pinales; Pinaceae. The record is from RNAcentral.